Molecule: ribosomal RNA, 1086 nt
Filed under: Listeria monocytogenes
Lineage: Bacteria; Bacillati; Bacillota; Bacilli; Caryophanales; Listeriaceae
Description: partial 23S ribosomal RNA
Rfam family: Bacterial large subunit ribosomal RNA
Source: RNAcentral
UUGGUUAAGUUAGAAAGGGCGCACGGUGGAUGCCUUGGCACUAGGAGCCGAAGAAGGACGGGACUAACACCGAUAUGCUUUGGGGAGCUGUACGUAAGCGUUGAUCCAGAGAUUUCCGAAUGGGGGAACCCACUAUCUUUAGUCGGAUAGUAUCCUUACGUGAAUACAUAGCGUGAGGAAGGCAGACCCAGGGAACUGAAACAUCUAAGUACCUGGAGGAAGAGAAAGAAAAAUCGAUUUCCUGAGUAGCGGCGAGCGAAACGGAAAGAGCCCAAACCAAGAAGCUUGCUUCUUGGGGUUGUAGGACACUCUAUACGGAGUUACAAAAGAAAGUUAUAAAUGAAGCGGUCUGGAAAGGCCCGCCAAAGACGGUAACAGCCCGGUAGUUGAAAUGGCUUUCCCUCCAGAGUGGAUCCUGAGUACGGCGGAACACGUGAAAUUCCGUCGGAAUCCGGGAGGACCAUCUCCCAAGGCUAAAUACUCCCUAGUGACCGAUAGUGAACCAGUACCGUGAGGGAAAGGUGAAAAGCACCCCGGAAGGGGAGUGAAACAGUUCCUGAAACCGUGUGCCUACAAGUAGUUAGAGCCCGUUAAUGGGUGAUAGCGUGCCUUUUGUAGAAUGAACCGGCGAGUUACGAUUUGUUGCAAGGUUAAGCGGAAAAAGCGGAGCCGUAGCGAAAGCGAGUCUGAAUAGGGCGCAUAAGUAACAGGUCGUAGACCCGAAACCAGGUGAUCUACCCAUGUCCAGGAUGAAGGUAAGGUAAUACUUACUGGAGGUCCGAACCCACGCACGUUGAAAAGUGCGGGGAUGAGGUGUGGGUAGCGGAGAAAUUCCAAUCGAACUUGGAGAUAGCUGGUUCUCUCCGAAAUAGCUUUAGGGCUAGCCUCGAGGUAAAGAGUCAUGGAGGUAGAGCACUGUUUGGACUAGGGGCCCUUCUCGGGUUACCGAAUUCAGAUAAACUCCGAAUGCCAUGUACUUAUACUCGGGAGUCAGACUGCGAGUGAUAAGAUCCGUAGUCGAAAGGGAAACAGCCCAGACCACCAGUUAAGGUCCCCAAAUAUAUGUUAAGUGGAAAAGGAUGUGGG